CUGGCAAGGUGCAUUUAAUAUUUGGAAAAAAGAUAUGACCAGUAACCUACUUUAGGAAGAAAAUAAGCAUCACCUGGCAUCAGUGCUCACAUGUUCCACUUCAGCUGUGCCAAUAGGUGGUAGCAGAUUAUUUCGACUCAGGGGCGUCGGUGAGGGAGAGGAGAGCGAGUCGGGUGCCACUGGGCUGCAGAUCCCACCAACAAACACGAAGUUUUACCACGGUUUCCAGAAGUUCUGCUUUUGAAACCUACACUCGGGCUCCUCUGAGGAUUUCUUCCACAGAUCUUGGUGUUUCAGCACAUGAAUGGCUCGUGCUGAUCGGAUGAAGAGUUCGUGGUGGUGGAUUGCGUCUCCUGGUGGACUGCACUGUGUAUGACAGAGAUGAUGUACUAAACUCCACAGCUCGAUUUGGCCAAUUUCGAGUUGAAAGGAUGGUACUGGACCCAGGCCUCAUAAGUAGCUUGUCAUCAAGAUCUCUAGUAGCCAAAUCAGAAACCCACAAUGAAGUAAAGAUCAGUAUGUCAAGGAAGACA
RNAcentral lists this long non-coding RNA (533 nucleotides) under Homo sapiens (human). RNAcentral's name for it is "non-protein coding lnc-MRPS16-2:3". Lineage: Eukaryota; Metazoa; Chordata; Mammalia; Primates; Hominidae. The record is from RNAcentral.